This is a long non-coding RNA of Equus caballus (horse), 879 nucleotides long. RefSeq lists it as uncharacterized. The record is from RefSeq and is a predicted model, not a curated record. Lineage: Eukaryota; Metazoa; Chordata; Mammalia; Perissodactyla; Equidae.
GUAGAAGAGACCCCAGAGAGCUCCCUCUCUCCUUCCUCAAGGUGAGGACGCAGCGAGAAGGCGCCAGCUAUGAACCAGGAUGAGGGCUCUCACCAGAACCUGGCCACGCCAGCACCCUGACCUUGGACUUCCAGCCUCUGGAACUGCUCUGCUCUGGGGGGUUACAAAGUCCUUGAGCAUCCUCGGAAGCAGAUGAGGAGGACGAGUAAGCGGCUCCAUCUCUGAAAGGAUUUGCAGCAUCAUAGGUUGGUCUGUACCCUCCUUAGUUACACAGGCUGGAAAAGGGCCAGGAACGUGCACAGCUGACCGGCGUGUCAUCCCUGAAACCCGGCCGUGCACGGGGAGUCACGUGUCUACCUCAUCUUUGGAAAACUGCCUUGCUGCCUGAAGCCCACAGCAGGAGCCUGGACCCAUAAAUUUCAAAUUUUCCUAUUAGCCUUUAGGGGAGAAGGCUGGAGUCUUAAUAGACAUCGAUACUUCUAGAGCAAAGGGCACGGUGUUUGCACUCUACUUUGUACGGAUCCUGCACAUACAGCGUGUGGGGCUGAGCUCUCCAUGGCCCAUUCACCACGGUGCGGGAGGCCCAGCCACAUCCCAGGAGAAGCGACUGAGUGAGCAGAGGCUGUUUAUCCUGGAGAACAGAGGAGAACCCAAGGGAGCUGAUAGUAGUCUUCCAAUAUCUGAAGGAUUGUCAGAGGGAAGAACUGCUGUCCCACUUUGGUGGCCUCUAGAGGGUUGUGACAAUGACCGGUUGAUGGAAGCUUCAGGGAAGCAGAGAUCAGCGAAUCUGAAGUGGCAUCCUAACAGUGCUAGCUUUGAGUCAAACCACCUGAGUUCCCAUCUUGACUCUUCUACCUGGUAGCUGAAUAAAGUCUCUGU